CCUACGGGAGGCAGCAGUAGGGAAUUUUCGGCAAUGGGGGGAACCCUGACCCAGCAACGCCGCGUGAACGAAGAAGUUAUUCGUAAUGUAAAGCUCUUUUAACAGUGAAGAAAGAGCAGUUUCACGGUACCUGAAGAGUAUGCCCCGACUAACUACGUGCCCGCAGACGCGGUAAUACGGAGGGUGCGAGCGUUAUCUGGAGUUAUUGGGCGUAAAGGGUGCGUAGAUGGAAUAUGAAGUCUUUGGUAAAAAUGCGGGGCUCAACCCAGUAGGGCAAAAGAUACUGUCAAUCUAGAGUGUGAGAGAGGCAAGUGGAACUAGUGGUGUAGCGGUAAAAUGCGUAGAUAUAAGUAAGAACACCAGUGGCGAAGGCGGCUUACUGGGUCGAUACUGACGUUGAGGCACGAAAGCGUGGGGAGCAAACAGGAUUAGAUACCCCUGUAGUC
RNAcentral lists this ribosomal RNA (446 nucleotides) under uncultured bacterium. RNAcentral describes it as "partial 16S ribosomal RNA". It matches the Rfam family "Bacterial small subunit ribosomal RNA", at positions 338 to 795 of the family's 1533-position model. The record is from RNAcentral.